GCCAAGAUAGUUCAACUGGUUAGAACAUUAAUUUCAUGCGUUAAUAGUGUGGGUUCAACUCCCUCUCUUGGUA
Non-coding RNA from Knufia fluminis, 73 nucleotides. Lineage: Eukaryota; Fungi; Ascomycota; Eurotiomycetes; Chaetothyriales; Trichomeriaceae. The record is from the annotation of a GenBank genome assembly.